This 1591-nucleotide ribosomal RNA is filed under the name Colwellia chukchiensis. RNAcentral's name for it is "bacterial LSU rRNA". It matches the Rfam family "Bacterial large subunit ribosomal RNA", at positions 1224 to 2802 of the family's 2925-position model. Lineage: Bacteria; Pseudomonadati; Pseudomonadota; Gammaproteobacteria; Alteromonadales; Colwelliaceae. The record is from RNAcentral.
AGUGGUAGGGGAGCGUUCUGUAAGCCGUUGAAGGUGUGUUGUAAAGCAUGCUGGAGGUAUCAGAAGUGCGAAUGCUGACAUGAGUAACGAUAAGGGGAGUGAAAAACUCCCCCGCCGAAAGACCAAGGUUUCCUGUCCCAUGUUAAUCAGGGCAGGGUAAGUCGGCCCCUAAGGCGAGGCGGAAACGCGUAGUCGAUGGGAAACAGAUUAAUAUUUCUGUACUUCUAUAUAUUGCGAAGGAGGGACGGAGCAGGCUAGGCUGGCAUGGCGUUGGUAGUCCAUGUGAAAGUGCGUAGGUUGGUUGUUUAGGUAAAUCCGGACAACCUUAAGACUGAGACACGAGACGAUGCUCUACGGAGCAGAAGCAGUUGAUGCCAUACUUCCAGGAAAAGCUUCUAAGCAUCAGAUAUAUAGGAACCGUACCCCAAACCGACACAGGUGGUUAGGUAGAGAAUACUAAGGCGCUUGAGAGAACUCGGGUGAAGGAACUAGGCAAAAUAGUACCGUAACUUCGGGAGAAGGUACGCUCUCUAAUGUGAAGCCCUUGCGGUGUAAGCAUCGGAGAGUCGAAGUAACCAGGUGGCUGGAACUGUUUAUUAAAAACACAGCACUGUGCAAAAUCGAAAGAUGACGUAUACGGUGUGACGCCUGCCCGGUGCCGGAAGGUUAAUUGAUUGGGUUAGCUCUGCGAAGCUCAUGAUCGAAGCCCCGGUAAACGGCGGCCGUAACUAUAACGGUCCUAAGGUAGCGAAAUUCCUUGUCGGGUAAGUUCCGACCUGCACGAAUGGCGUAAUCAUGGCCACACUGUCUCCACCCGAGACUCAGUGAAAUUGAAAUUGCGGUUAAGAUGCCGUAUACCCGCGGCUAGACGGAAAGACCCCGUGAACCUUUACUAUAGCUUGACAGUGAACAUUGCUCCUACAUGUGUAGGAUAGGUGGGAGGCUUUGAAACGCAGUCGCCAGAUUGCGUGGAGCCAACCUUGAAAUACCACCCUUGUAUGCGUGAUGUUCUAACCUAGGGCCCUAAUCGGGCUUGGGGACACUGUCUGGUGGGUAGUUUGACUGGGGCGGUCUCCUCCUAAAGAGUAACGGAGGAGCACGAAGGUUGGCUAAGUACGGUCGGACAUCGUACGGUUAGUGCAAUGGCAUAAGCCAGCUUAACUGCGAGACAGACACGUCGAGCAGGUACGAAAGUAGGUCAUAGUGAUCCGGUGGUUCUGUAUGGAAGGGCCAUCGCUCAACGGAUAAAAGGUACUCCGGGGAUAACAGGCUGAUACCGCCCAAGAGUUCAUAUCGACGGCGGUGUUUGGCACCUCGAUGUCGGCUCAUCACAUCCUGGGGCUGAAGUCGGUCCCAAGGGUAUGGCUGUUCGCCAUUUAAAGUGGUACGCGAGCUGGGUUUAGAACGUCGUGAGACAGUUCGGUCCCUAUCUGCCGUGGGCGUUUGAGAAUUGAAGAGGGCUGCUCCUAGUACGAGAGGACCGGAGUGGACGAACCGCUGGUGUUCGGGUUGUGAUGCCAAUCGCAUUGCCCGGUAGCUACGUUCGGAACUGAUAACCGCUGAAAGCAUCUAAGCGGGAAGCAGGCUUUGA